RNAcentral lists this ribosomal RNA (665 nucleotides) under uncultured Bacteroidota bacterium. Its description in RNAcentral is "bacterial SSU rRNA". It matches the Rfam family "Bacterial small subunit ribosomal RNA", at positions 774 to 1453 of the family's 1533-position model. Lineage: Bacteria; Pseudomonadati; Bacteroidota. The record is from RNAcentral.
AGGAUUAGAUACCCUGGUAGUCCACGCUGUAAACGAUGAUCACUCGUUGUGGUCAAUACAGCGUCAGCGACUGAGCGAAAGCAUUAAGUGAUCCACGUGGGAAGUACGUUCGCAAGAAUGAAACUCAAAGGAAUUGACGGGGGCCCGCACAAGCGGAGGAACAUGUGGUUUAAUUAGAUGAUACGAGAGGAACCUUCCGUGGGCUUAAAUGCAUAAAGAUGGACCGGGAAACUGGUCUUUGUUCGGACGGAAUGCAAGGUGCUGCAUGGCUGUCGUCAGCUCGUGCCGUGAGGUGACGGGUUAAGUCCCAUAACGAGCGCAACCCUCAUCAUUAGUUGCCAGCGGGUAAUGCCGGGGACUCUAAUGAAACAACCGGUGUAAACCGAGAGGAAGGUGGGGAUGACGUCAAGUCAGCACGGCCCUUAUGUCCAGGGCUACACACGUGUUACAAUGGCCAGUACAAAGGGCAGCUACCAGGUAACAGGAUGCUAAUCUCUAAAACUGGUCUCAGUUCGGAUCGGAGUCUGCAACUCGACUUCGUGAAGUUGGAUUCGCUAGUAAUCGCGCAUCAGCCAUGGCGCGGUGAAUACGUUCCCGGGCCUUGUACACACCGCCAGUCAAGCCAUGGAAGCCGGGGGUACUUGAAGUACGUAACCGCAAGGAGC